AUGUUGAACUCCUCGCUGGAGAUUAAGGACCUGCUUCGUGUCAGUGUGAACUACAACCCAGCUCACUUUGGCAGCGGUACCAAACUAACAGUUUUAGUCAGUACUUCAAUCUUGUCAUACACCCGUGCUCUGUGCUCGACCGAUAAGGCAGUGUUUGGACCAGGCACAAAACUCACUGUUUUGGAAAAAGACAUUCCCAUCACUGCUCCCUCUGUGAAGGUGUUUCCUCCAUCUGGAGGUGAAAUCUGUGACAAGAACGUUCGGAAGACAAGGAAGUCAGUGACCCUGCUGUGUGUGGCUUCAGGCUUUUACCCUGACCAUGUCACUGUGCUCUGGCAGAUCAAUGGAGAGAAUCAAACCAAAGGAGUGGGCACAGACGAGAAUGCCUUACGUGCUGCAGAUAAAACUUACAGCAUCACAAGCAGGCUCAGAAUCCCAAUCAAGACAUGGGGGGAUCCUAAAACCGAGAUCACCUGCAAGGUCUGGUUUUUUAAUGAGACAUACUCAGACUAUUAUGAAGGCUCCAUAGGCGGAGGAAAAGUGCCUGGCAUGGUUGACCCAGAUACAUUGGUGAAGUCGGCUCAAACUGCCAAGUUUGCCUACAGCAUUUUUAUUGCUAAGAGUUGCCUGUUUGGACUCUUCAUCUGUUUUUUUAUCUGGAAGACUUCUCGAGGCUCAAAUGAGAAGUGGUAGACACAAAGACGGGAGGAAGUCCGGAGGAGGACAGGAAGUCCGAAGGAGGACAGGAAGUCCUCGGGAUUCCUACAGUACGGCUCCAAAGUGUGACGAGAUGAUUCUGUGACUCUUUAUUUUUCAACAACAUACAUUUUAUUUUUUUGUAGCAUCAUUAAUCUUUUUAAAAUUCUUUAAAUGUUCCUUAUACAUUUCUAAAGAGUUUAAUUAGAGAAGUCUGCACACUCCUGGGUAGUUUGAUUCCUUCAUGUCAAUGACAUUUCAACCUGCUGGUGUUCCUCAGACUCUAGACUGGUCAGUAGUGAAUAUGAAGGACACUAGUCUGGACGGAUCAGUAGUGAAUCUGAGGAAGACCAGCAGGUCGAAAUGUCAUUUAAACCAAACAUAAGAAGAUAAAGCAAGCAAACUACCAGGGAGUGUGCAGACUUCUUUAUAAACAUUUUGGAAUGUCCUUUUCUUUACCUGGGACGUGCACAAAGACUCUCUCUAAGUGUCCUUAUACAUUUCUGUCAUCUGAAAUCAUUGACCAUUUAUACAAUCAAGUGCUCAAAAUGUAAAAAUGUUGCUCCUUUUUUUCUCAUGUAAUCUGAUAGGCUGACGUGCUACUGUGAGGAGUUGUGUAGUACCAGAUUAAUGAAAAUGUAACAUUUGAGUUUAUUGAUUUUUCUUUUUUCACCUUAGAACUUAGUAUUUACAUGACUUUAUACUGUAUAUCAUUAUCCUGUAUAUUAUUUCUUGCCAUCAUCAAAUAAAAUGAACUAUUGAAGAAAACCAC
Sardina pilchardus (European sardine) is the source of this 1468-nucleotide non-coding RNA. The record is from the annotation of a RefSeq genome assembly. NCBI's taxonomy places the organism in Eukaryota, Metazoa, Chordata, Actinopteri, Clupeiformes, Clupeidae.